UGCAAAUUGUUUUUCGUAUUACUUAUUUCAAUUAUGUUGAACGGGAAACAAUUUGUGCAG
This 60-nucleotide microRNA precursor is filed under the name Drosophila virilis. RNAcentral describes it as "microRNA dvi-mir-9704 precursor (dvi-mir-9704-1)". The record is from miRBase by way of RNAcentral. Lineage: Eukaryota; Metazoa; Arthropoda; Insecta; Diptera; Drosophilidae.